This 2901-nucleotide ribosomal RNA is filed under the name human gut metagenome. RNAcentral's name for it is "bacterial LSU rRNA". It matches the Rfam family "Bacterial large subunit ribosomal RNA". The record is from RNAcentral.
UUAAGCGACUAAGCGUACACGGUGGAUGCCCUGGCAGUCAGAGGCGAUGAAGGACGUGCUAAUCUGCGAUAAGCGUCGGUAAGGUGAUAUGAACCGUUAUAACCGGCGAUUUCCGAAUGGGGAAACCCAGUGUGAUUCGUCACACUAUCAUUAACUGAAUCCAUAGGUUAAUGAGGCGAACCGGGGGAACUGAAACAUCUAAGUACCCCGAGGAAAAGAAAUCAACCGAGAUUCCCCCAGUAGCGGCGAGCGAACGGGGAGCAGCCCAGAGCCUGAAUCAGUGUGUGUGUUAGUGGAAGCGUCUGGAAAGGCGCGCGAUACAGGGUGACAGCCCCGUACACAAAAAUGCACAUGCUGUGAGCUCGAUGAGUAGGGCGGGACACGUGGUAUCCUGUCUGAAUAUGGGGGGACCAUCCUCCAAGGCUAAAUACUCCUGACUGACCGAUAGUGAACCAGUACCGUGAGGGAAAGGCGAAAAGAACCCCGGCGAGGGGAGUGAAAAAGAACCUGAAACCGUGUACGUACAAGCAGUGGGAGCACGCUUAGGCGUGUGACUGCGUACCUUUUGUAUAAUGGGUCAGCGACUUAUAUUCUGUAGCAAGGUUAACCGAAUAGGGGAGCCGAAGGGAAACCGAGUCUUAACUGGGCGUUAAGUUGCAGGGUAUAGACCCGAAACCCGGUGAUCUAGCCAUGGGCAGGUUGAAGGUUGGGUAACACUAACUGGAGGACCGAACCGACUAAUGUUGAAAAAUUAGCGGAUGACUUGUGGCUGGGGGUGAAAGGCCAAUCAAACCGGGAGAUAGCUGGUUCUCCCCGAAAGCUAUUUAGGUAGCGCCUCGUGAAUUCAUCUCCGGGGGUAGAGCACUGUUUCGGCAAGGGGGUCAUCCCGACUUACCAACCCGAUGCAAACUGCGAAUACCGGAGAAUGUUAUCACGGGAGACACACGGCGGGUGCUAACGUCCGUCGUGAAGAGGGAAACAACCCAGACCGCCAGCUAAGGUCCCAAAGUCAUGGUUAAGUGGGAAACGAUGUGGGAAGGCCCAGACAGCCAGGAUGUUGGCUUAGAAGCAGCCAUCAUUUAAAGAAAGCGUAAUAGCUCACUGGUCGAGUCGGCCUGCGCGGAAGAUGUAACGGGGCUAAACCAUGCACCGAAGCUGCGGCAGCGACACUAUGUGUUGUUGGGUAGGGGAGCGUUCUGUAAGCCUGUGAAGGUGUACUGUGAGGUAUGCUGGAGGUAUCAGAAGUGCGAAUGCUGACAUAAGUAACGAUAAAGCGGGUGAAAAGCCCGCUCGCCGGAAGACCAAGGGUUCCUGUCCAACGUUAAUCGGGGCAGGGUGAGUCGACCCCUAAGGCGAGGCCGAAAGGCGUAGUCGAUGGGAAACAGGUUAAUAUUCCUGUACUUGGUGUUACUGCGAAGGGGGGACGGAGAAGGCUAUGUUGGCCGGGCGACGGUUGUCCCGGUUUAAGCGUGUAGGCUGGUUUUCCAGGCAAAUCCGGAAAAUCAAGGCUGAGGCGUGAUGACGAGGCACUACGGUGCUGAAGCAACAAAUGCCCUGCUUCCAGGAAAAGCCUCUAAGCAUCAGGUAACAUCAAAUCGUACCCCAAACCGACACAGGUGGUCAGGUAGAGAAUACCAAGGCGCUUGAGAGAACUCGGGUGAAGGAACUAGGCAAAAUGGUGCCGUAACUUCGGGAGAAGGCACGCUGAUAUGUAGGUGAAGUCCCUCGCGGAUGGAGCUGAAAUCAGUCGAAGAUACCAGCUGGCUGCAACUGUUUAUUAAAAACACAGCACUGUGCAAACACGAAAGUGGACGUAUACGGUGUGACGCCUGCCCGGUGCCGGAAGGUUAAUUGAUGGGGUUAGCGCAAGCGAAGCUCUUGAUCGAAGCCCCGGUAAACGGCGGCCGUAACUAUAACGGUCCUAAGGUAGCGAAAUUCCUUGUCGGGUAAGUUCCGACCUGCACGAAUGGCGUAAUGAUGGCCAGGCUGUCUCCACCCGAGACUCAGUGAAAUUGAACUCGCUGUGAAGAUGCAGUGUACCCGCGGCAAGACGGAAAGACCCCGUGAACCUUUACUAUAGCUUGACACUGAACAUUGAGCCUUGAUGUGUAGGAUAGGUGGGAGGCUUUGAAGUGUGGACGCCAGUCUGCAUGGAGCCGACCUUGAAAUACCACCCUUUAAUGUUUGAUGUUCUAACGUUGACCCGUGAUCCGGGUUGCGGACAGUGUCUGGUGGGUAGUUUGACUGGGGCGGUCUCCUCCUAAAGAGUAACGGAGGAGCACGAAGGUUGGCUAAUCCUGGUCGGACAUCAGGAGGUUAGUGCAAUGGCAUAAGCCAGCUUGACUGCGAGCGUGACGGCGCGAGCAGGUGCGAAAGCAGGUCAUAGUGAUCCGGUGGUUCUGAAUGGAAGGGCCAUCGCUCAACGGAUAAAAGGUACUCCGGGGAUAACAGGCUGAUACCGCCCAAGAGUUCAUAUCGACGGCGGUGUUUGGCACCUCGAUGUCGGCUCAUCACAUCCUGGGGCUGAAGUAGGUCCCAAGGGUAUGGCUGUUCGCCAUUUAAAGUGGUACGCGAGCUGGGUUUAGAACGUCGUGAGACAGUUCGGUCCCUAUCUGCCGUGGGCGCUGGAGAAUUGAGGGGGGCUGCUCCUAGUACGAGAGGACCGGAGUGGACGCAUCACUGGUGUUCGGGUUGUCAUGCCAAUGGCACUGCCCGGUAGCUAAAUGCGGAAGAGAUAAGUGCUGAAAGCAUCUAAGCACGAAACUUGCCCCGAGAUGAGUUCUCCCUGACUCCUUGAGAGUCCUGAAGGAACGUUGAAGACGACGACGUUGAUAGGCCGGGUGUGUAAGCGCAGCGAUGCGUUGAGCUAACCGGUACUAAUGAACCGUGAGGCUUAACCUU